UACAGAGGGGGCAAGCGUUGUUCGGAAUUACUGGGCGUAAAGGGCGCGUAGGCGGCCUGUUAAGUCGAACGUGAAAUCCCCGGGCUCAACCCGGGAACUGCGUCCGAUACUGGCAGGCUUGAAUUCGGGAGAGGGAUGUGGAAUUCCAGGUGUAGCGGUGAAAUGCGUAGAUAUCUGGAGGAACACCGGUGGCGAAGGCGGCAUCCUGGACCGAUAUUGACGCUGAUGCGCGAAAGCCAGGGAAGCAAACGGG
This 253-nucleotide ribosomal RNA is filed under the name uncultured bacterium. RNAcentral's name for it is "partial 16S ribosomal RNA". It matches the Rfam family "Bacterial small subunit ribosomal RNA", at positions 524 to 776 of the family's 1533-position model. The record is from RNAcentral.